GGCUCAGUGGUCGAGUGUCCCUAAGUUGAAUCUCCAGUACCAAAAAAAAAAACCUCUUUCCCAGGGCACUGCUUGGCACAUAAUAGAUGCUCAAUAAAUACUGAAUGAAUCAAUAGAUAAUAACUUCACUACCAGAAUUCUGACCAACCCUUUGUGAAGAAGCCCCCAUAUCACUGUAUUUUUCGAUAGGAAUAUGGGGAUAGUUGUCCCAGGCUUACCUUGAAUCAGAUCCUUUAUACUAUUGUUAUAAAGUCAGAGCCCAGCAUUUACUGAAGACUUAAUGUGCCAAAGAAUACACUAGGUGUUGAUGAGAACUGAAUUUUGGUCCCUGUAUUUUAUAGGGUAAGCAGCCAGGUGAGCCCACAGAAUAGCCACAGGGGACAGGUACAGGAGAAGGACUUACAUGUACUCCACUGACCCCUGAAAGCUGACUCCUCAAAGGGGGACACUGGGUUAUAAACGAAGAUGUCCCCUGUCUCUGCAGAGAACUGCAGCUGAGGGGUCACCCAGAUGGCUGCCUCCGAAGGCUCAGGCUUCCAUCCCAUUUGUGAGGAGGCUUACACGAGGGUGUGCCAGGUGCAUCGGGGCCUGCCGGCUCAUGAGGCUCUCUCCAGCUCCUUGACCUCUCUUAUUCUGGUGCUUCCUGGCCACGCCUCUUACACACAGGGAAGCAGCCCUGAGGAGUGAGGUCCUGGGGUCAGGGCUGAGUGUGUGUUCCAGCACUGCCCCCUCCGUUGUUGCGGAAGCUGGAGGUCCCCACCAGGCAGGCUCAGCAGCACCUUUUAAAGGGAAUUUCCUUUGUUUGUUCAGUAGACCUUGGGUUCCCCACC
Molecule: long non-coding RNA, 830 nt
Filed under: Marmota monax (woodchuck)
Lineage: Eukaryota; Metazoa; Chordata; Mammalia; Rodentia; Sciuridae
Source: RNAcentral